Molecule: ribosomal RNA, 381 nt
Filed under: Salmonella enterica subsp. enterica
Lineage: Bacteria; Pseudomonadati; Pseudomonadota; Gammaproteobacteria; Enterobacterales; Enterobacteriaceae
Description: partial 23S ribosomal RNA
Rfam family: Bacterial large subunit ribosomal RNA
Source: RNAcentral
GAUUCGGUGAUCCUAUGCUGUCGAGAAAAGCAUCGGCGUGAGGUUCUAGUUGCCCGUACCCUAAACCGACACAGGUGAUCAGGUAGAGAAUACUAAGGCGUUCGAGAGAAUCAUGGUUAAGGAACUCGGCAAAAUGCCCCCGUAACUUCGGGAGAAGGGGGACCUUGAGCGUGAACUGGGCUUGCUCCGGGGAGCGUGUAUGGGUCGCAGAGACCAGGGGGAAGCGACUGUUUAUCAAAAACACAGGUCCGUGCGAAGUCGCAAGACGAUGUAUACGGACUGACUCCUGCCCGGUGCUGGAAGGUUAAGAGGACUCGUUAGGCCCUUCGGGGUCGAAGCGGAGAAUUUAAGCCCCAGUAAACGGCGGUGGUAACUAUAACC